This 205-nucleotide long non-coding RNA is filed under the name Elaeis guineensis (African oil palm). Its description in RNAcentral is "long non-coding RNA (EGUI_LNC023540)". The record is from RNAcentral. Lineage: Eukaryota; Viridiplantae; Streptophyta; Magnoliopsida; Arecales; Arecaceae.
GGGCAAACCGGUGGUUACGAGGUGUCCUAGAGCCGGAUGGAAUACGGUAUGAUGCAAAACUGGUCACCCUGAUUGAAGCGUUCCAGGAUCGGUAACGUCACCUUCCCGUCAGCAGUUGAUGAGCCCUCCAGAUUCUCACUAGGACCAUUGGACUCUUCUGUCCUUUUUUUUUUUUUUGGCUCACCGCUUCCAGCUGUAUCCAGUC